This 101-nucleotide microRNA precursor is filed under the name Marmota monax (woodchuck). The record is from RNAcentral. Lineage: Eukaryota; Metazoa; Chordata; Mammalia; Rodentia; Sciuridae.
AGUAGGAUAACUGGGUCAAAUGGUGGAUCCAUUCCAAGUGUUUGAGGAAUCUCCAUACUGCUUUCCAGAGUAGCUGCACCAUUUGCAGUCCCACUAGCAAU